UUAUAGCCUUCCCUCGGCAUUCCCAUCAUCUCGAAAGCUGAGAAAGGACGCAGAUGAAUACCAGGCGGGGAAUCACCGGCAUCUACUUCCGGAGGAGUUAGCCCUCCGAGCCGGAAGUGAAUGGGAGAGGGCGCGCAGCAUUCUGGGUAGAGUCUGGAGAAACAUGUUGGCGUCCGCUGACUGUUACCCGGGCAACCGGAGGCGCUUGAUGGUUACUCCCAGAGUGGCGUAGUGAGCGGGCCGGGCUGAGGUGCUCAGAGCGUUGGGGUGAGCGGGGAGGGCGUGAGGCCCUUUAAGAGGCGGGCGUCCUGAUCGGAGGGGGUUCGGCCCAGUCCCGGGAGCGCCGCUGGGAUCUGGGUGGGUCCCGCCCGGGUGGCGGGUGGCGGGUGGCAGGUGGCGGGUGGGUCCCGCCCUCCAGUCUGAGCCUCGCGGGGAAAGGAGGUGUGGGGGCCCGUAGCUCCUUCCGGUCACUUCUCGUUUUCUGCCUCCUUACAGAAAAUAAUCCCAGGUGGGAAAAAGGUAUCUGUCACUGAGCAAAGACUGCCACAGGCACUGCUCCUUUUUAAAGGAGCCUGGCAACUCAUCCAUGUCUUCCUCUUCCACCUCCUCAGAGCCUGCUUGCCAGGAGAGGGCCUCUACUAUCGUUGUCAGUAGCCGUGUGUGGCUGGUCUGAACUGAGGUAUGCAGUAAUGUAAACUACACACUGGAUCUCAAAGACUUAUUUUGAGGAAAAAAGGAUGGAAUGUAUCUCAUUGAUAAUUUCAUUGAUUACAUAUUGAAAUUAUAAUAUUUGAGAUAUAUUAGACUAAGUAAAAUGUAUCAUUAAGGUAGAUUUCAUCUUUUCUUUUCACCUUUCUUAAUGUGGCUAUUAGAAUGACUUAAGUGGCUCACAUUAUGUUCCUGUUGCUCUAAACAAAUAGGAAGUCUAUCUAACGCUAGUAAUCUCCAAAUAUUAUUGUCACUAACUUUAGUAAAUUUAAUUUACUGAGGUACAAUACCCAUAAGGUCUUUUUCUGUGCAUACUCUCUGGGGAAUAAAAAUCAAUACCCAUUCUUAGUGCAUUUUAUAUUUUAAUUUUGGGGAGUGAUCCUCAGGUCACUAGAUGUCAGUAGCUACCUGGUGAGCACUGUCAUAUUCAGUAGUGUGGCCUCAUUUCAAGGAGUCAGUCCAUCUAUGACAGCUCAAGCUGAGAUGGUUGCCUUUCAGCUUCAGUAUAUAGGAAAUCUGUUUCAUUAAAACUGAAUUCAUUCAAUGCAAUUCAGCUAAGCACUCUCCUUCGCUGAGAGCUAACAGGAAGUUGCUAAGAGAGUAGAUCUUAGAAAUUAUCUCAAGAA
Molecule: long non-coding RNA, 1334 nt
Organism: Pipistrellus kuhlii (Kuhl's pipistrelle)
Lineage: Eukaryota; Metazoa; Chordata; Mammalia; Chiroptera; Vespertilionidae
Exons: 2
Source: RefSeq, a predicted model, not a curated record